AUCCCAGGCUGACUCGUAGGGUUUCACCACCUUCUUCACCUUUAUGUCUCAUAUCUCUGUGCACGGGGCCUGGCAUACAGCAGGUGCUGAAUAAAUGUGACUAGAUGGAGCCCCCUGCCAGGCCAGCUUUCCCGUGG
Molecule: microRNA precursor, 137 nt
Filed under: Equus caballus (horse)
Lineage: Eukaryota; Metazoa; Chordata; Mammalia; Perissodactyla; Equidae
Description: microRNA mir-9116 (MIR9116)
Source: RNAcentral